GUGAAUGCUGGCGGUAUGGAUAAGGCAUGCAAGUCGAAUGGGUUUAGACCCAUGGCAGACGAGGUAGUAACACGUAGGUAUGUACCCGGAAGUCGGGCAUAACUCGCCGAAAGGCGAGAUAAUUCCCGAUGGUCUCGAAAGAGUAAAGAUUUAUCGCUUCCGGAGCGGCCUGCGUAAUAUCAGCUAGUUGGUAAGGUAAUGGCUUACCAAGGCUAUGACGUUUAGGGGAGCUGAGAGGCUGACCCCCACCGAUGAAACUGUGACACGGUUCAUACCCCUACGGGGGGCCGCAGCCGAGAAUAUUCGACAAUGGGCGAGAGCCUGAUCGAGCGAUACCGCGUGGUGGAUGAAGCGAUUCGUCGCGUAAACACCUUUUAUGAGGGAGGAAGUUAUUGACGUUACCUCAUGAAUAAGGGGCUCCUAACUCUGU
Molecule: ribosomal RNA, 430 nt
Filed under: uncultured bacterium
Lineage: Bacteria
Description: bacterial SSU rRNA
Rfam family: Bacterial small subunit ribosomal RNA
Source: RNAcentral